AAUUUCAGCGUUCUUUCUGCAAUGGAAACAAAUAGCAUAAAAGAAUACUACAUGUUCUCAGAAUGAAAUGCUAUCUUCUGCUUUAAUUCCUAUGUUCGACAGCCUAGUAGUGACCUCACAGUGGAUUCUGUGAUGAAAACUAUGCUGCAGCUGGAGACUCGAGUCUCCAGUCAUGUGGAGUGCUAUCUCACACCUGUGCUCACGAAGCCAAUGUGUGUGCUUCCCUUUGCCUCAACCCCUUCAGGCUUUAGUUCCUCACAACUUUGGGCUGGGAAGCAAGAACAGGAUUCUUGAUUCUUCAGGGGAUACUCAGGUGGAGGAGGAAGAAGAAAUCAGCAUUUGGAGACAAUAAAAUGGGAAAGCCUAUCAUCUAGACCUGCUUCGUCCAAAAUUAUGGGCUGCUUUGGGCUGGCUUUCACGUGCCAAAAAGGUGAAUGUACCAAUUAACAUUAAAGAUUCACAUUUGAUAAGACUGAGAAUACAUCCCCAACCUACAAAGGUAAAUACGUCUCCACCUCUAUUUUCAUUGCUAAGACAUUUUUUCUUGAAUUGUGGACAGUUUCAUAAAUCUUGCAAGAGAGAAAGCUUUCAUAGCUUCCACAGAAAAGUCCCUUUAGCGACACCCCUCAUGAUAAGUAGAAUACCAGUGAUGAUGUGUUCUAGACCACCUGACACUCUGGAAUCAACAGUCUCACAGAGAAGAAUGAAUGGUCAGGAGUAAAGAAUUCCUCCAUAAAAUGAGUCUGAAUUUCUCUUGAGAUCUAAAGAUUCAUUGGGAUAUAUUCUUCCCUAUAUCUCCAAAUAGGGCAGAGAAGUUAAUUAAAAGUAGUUACAAGAAAGAAGCCGUGGUCUGAAGGUGGUAAGCUUGACCCACAAAAAUGACCAGGAACAAAACUGCACACAAUUUAGAUUUUGCGAUCAGAAGCCAGCAGGAUAUUUGUUCUCUGAGCAGACACCAGGGGGAGACAAUCCUGAAAAUCAAAUCAACAGGUGACGUCUCAGAGAACAGAACAGGACUAAUCUAAGUCUAGCCAUUUCACAACCCUUCCCGCAAUGUCACAGAACUGUAAAGUCAGGCAUUCAGACAUAACCCCCCCAGAGAAGAUGGGAGGGUGGGAUGGGAAGUUUUAAACCUAUAACAGUUGAAAAGAAUCCUUGAAUUUGGUUUAAUUUUCCUGGAAAUGAGUAAAUUACAUUUUUGGAAGCAGGUUGAAAUACG
RNAcentral lists this long non-coding RNA (1219 nucleotides) under Equus caballus (horse). Its description in RNAcentral is "lncRNA (ENSECAG00000056499.1)". The record is from RNAcentral. Lineage: Eukaryota; Metazoa; Chordata; Mammalia; Perissodactyla; Equidae.